UACGUAGGGUGCGAGCGUUAAUCGGAAUUACUGGGCGUAAAGCGUGCGCAGGCGGUUGUGCAAGACAGGUGUGAAAUCCCCGGGCUUAACCUGGGAACUGCACUUGUGACUGCACAGCUAGAGUACGGUAGAGGGGGAUGGAAUUCCGCGUGUAGCAGUGAAAUGCGUAGAUAUGCGGAGGAACACCGAUGGCGAAGGCAAUCCCCUGGACCUGUACUGACGCUCAUGCACGAAAGCGUGGGGAGCAAACAGGAUUAGAUACCCUGGUAGUCCACGCCCUAAACGAUGUCAACUGGUUGUUGGACGGCUUGCUGUUCAGUAACGAAGCUAACGCGUGAAGUUGACCGCCUGGGGAGUACGGCCGCAAGGUUGAA
This 374-nucleotide ribosomal RNA is filed under the name uncultured bacterium. RNAcentral describes it as "bacterial SSU rRNA". It matches the Rfam family "Bacterial small subunit ribosomal RNA", at positions 524 to 898 of the family's 1533-position model. The record is from RNAcentral.